RNAcentral lists this ribosomal RNA (253 nucleotides) under uncultured bacterium. Its description in RNAcentral is "partial 16S ribosomal RNA". It matches the Rfam family "Bacterial small subunit ribosomal RNA", at positions 524 to 776 of the family's 1533-position model. The record is from RNAcentral.
GACAGAGGGUGCAAACGUUGUUCGGAAUUACUGGGCGUAAAGCGCGUGUAGGCUGCUUCGCAAGUCGGAUGUGAAAUCCCGAGGCUCAACCUCGGAACUGCGUCUGAAACUACUCGACUAGAGUACUGGAGAGGGUAACGGAAUUCACGGUGUAGCAGUGAAAUGCGUAGAUAUCGUGAGGAACACCAGAGGCGAAGGCGGUUACCUGGACAGUUACUGACGCUCAGGCACGAAAGCAUGGGGAGCAAAAGGG